RNAcentral lists this ribosomal RNA (396 nucleotides) under uncultured bacterium. RNAcentral describes it as "partial 16S ribosomal RNA". It matches the Rfam family "Bacterial small subunit ribosomal RNA", at positions 523 to 918 of the family's 1533-position model. The record is from RNAcentral.
AUACGUAGGUGGCGAGCGUUGUCCGGAUUUACUGGGUGUAAAGGGCGAGUAGGCGGGGAUUCAAGUCAGAUGUGAAAUACCGAGGCUUAACUUCGGAGCUGCAUUUGAAACUGGAUUUCUUGAGUGAUGGAGAGGCAGGCGGAAUUCCCGGUGUAGCGGUGAAAUGCAUAGAGAUCGGGAGGAACACCAGUGGCGAAGGCGGCCUGCUGGACAUUAACUGACGCUGAGGCGCGAAAGUGUGGGGAGCAAACAGGAUUAGAUACCCUGGUAGUCCACACCGUAAACGAUGGAUACUAGGUGUGGGGGGUUUGACCCCCUCCGUGCCGGAGUUAACACAAUAAGUAUCCCACCUGGGGAGUACGAUCGCAAGAUUGAAACUCAAAGGAAUUGACGGGG